UACGGGGGGGGGCAAGCGUUGUUCGGAAUUACUGGGCGUAAAGGGCUCGUAGGUGGCCAACUACGUCAGACGUGAAAUCCCUCAGCUUAACUGGGGAACUGCGUCUGAUACUGGAUGGCUUGAGUUUGGGAGAGGGAUGCGGAAUUCCAGGUGUAGCGGUGAAAUGCGUAGAGAUCGGGAGGAACAUCAGUUGCGAAGGCGGCUCUCUGGACCAGCACUGACACUGAGGCACGAAAGCGUGGGGAGCAAACAGG
RNAcentral lists this ribosomal RNA (254 nucleotides) under uncultured bacterium. RNAcentral's name for it is "partial 16S ribosomal RNA". It matches the Rfam family "Bacterial small subunit ribosomal RNA", at positions 524 to 776 of the family's 1533-position model. The record is from RNAcentral.